UACGGAGGAUGCGAGCGUUAUCCGGAUUUAUUGGGUUUAAAGGGUGCGUAGGCGGACGCUUAAGUCAGCGGUAAAAUUGCGGGGCUCAACCUCGUCGAGCCGUUGAAACUGGGUGCCUUGGGUGGGCGAGAAGUACGCGGAAUGCGUGGUGUAGCGGUGAAAUGCAUAGAUAUCACGCAGAACUCCGAUUGCGAAGGCAGCGUACCGGCGCCCAACUGACGCUGAAGCACGAAGGCGUGGGUAUCGAACAGG
This 252-nucleotide ribosomal RNA is filed under the name uncultured bacterium. Its description in RNAcentral is "partial 16S ribosomal RNA". It matches the Rfam family "Bacterial small subunit ribosomal RNA", at positions 524 to 776 of the family's 1533-position model. The record is from RNAcentral.